This 251-nucleotide ribosomal RNA is filed under the name uncultured bacterium. RNAcentral describes it as "partial 16S ribosomal RNA". It matches the Rfam family "Bacterial small subunit ribosomal RNA", at positions 524 to 776 of the family's 1533-position model. The record is from RNAcentral.
UACAGAGGGUGCAAGCGUUAAUCGGAAUUACUGGGCGUAAAGCGUGCGUAGUCGGUUAUUUAAGUCGGGUGUGAAGCCCCGGGCUCAACCUGGGAAUUGCAUUCGAUACUGGAUAGCUAGAGUUCGGCAGAGGGAAGCGGAAUUUCCGGUGUAGCGGUGAAAUGCGUAGAUAUCGGAAGGAACAUCAGUGGCGAAAGCGGCUUCCUGGACCAGAACUGACGAUCGAGGCACGAAAGCGUGGGAGCAACAGG